This 433-nucleotide ribosomal RNA is filed under the name uncultured bacterium. RNAcentral describes it as "partial 16S ribosomal RNA". It matches the Rfam family "Bacterial small subunit ribosomal RNA", at positions 29 to 507 of the family's 1533-position model. The record is from RNAcentral.
AACGAACGCUGGCGGCAUGCCUAACACAUGCAAGUCGAACGAGACCUUCGGGGCUAGUGGCGCAAGGGUGCGUAACGCGUGGGAACCUGCCCUUAGGUUCGGAAUAACUCCCCGAAAGGGGUGCUAAUACCGGAUAAUGUCUUCGGACCAAAGAUUUAUCGCCUUUGGAUGGGCCCGCGUUGGAUUAGCUAGUUGGUAGGGUAAAAGCCUACCAAGGCGACGAUCCAUAGCUGGUCUGAGAGGAUGAUCAGCCACACUGGGACUGAGACACGGCCCAGACUCCUACGGGCGGCAGCAGUGGGGAAUAUUGGACAAUGGGCGAAAGCCUGAUCCAGCAAUGCCGCGUGAGUGAUGAAGGCCUUAGGGUUGUAUAGCUCUUUUACCCGGGAUGAUAAUGACAGUACCUGGAGAAUAAGCUCCGGCUAACUCCGUG